GACGAACGCUGGCGGCGUGCUUAACACAUGCAAGUCGAGCGGUAAGGCCCUUUCGGGGGUACACGAGCGGCGAACGGGUGAGUAACACGUGGGUGACCUGCCCUCAGCUCUGGGAUAAGCCUGGGAAACCGGGUCUAAUACCGGAUAUGACUCCAUGACGCAUGUUGUGGGGUGAGAGCCUUGUGCGGCUGAGGAUGGGCCC
This 202-nucleotide ribosomal RNA is filed under the name uncultured bacterium. RNAcentral describes it as "partial 16S ribosomal RNA". It matches the Rfam family "Bacterial small subunit ribosomal RNA", at positions 28 to 232 of the family's 1533-position model. The record is from RNAcentral.